Molecule: ribosomal RNA, 383 nt
Filed under: uncultured eukaryote
Lineage: Eukaryota
Description: partial 18S ribosomal RNA
Rfam family: Eukaryotic small subunit ribosomal RNA
Source: RNAcentral
CAAUAGCGUAUAUUAAAGUUGUUGCAGUUAAAAAGCUCGUAGUUGGAUUUCUGGUGGGAGCGAUCGGUCUGGCGCUUAGCGCGAGUACUUGCAUCGUCUCCGGCCAUCCUUGGGGAAAGUCUGUCUGGCAUUAAGUUGUUGGGCAGAGGAUCCUCAUCGUUUACUGUGAAAAAAUUAGAGUGUUCAAAGCAGGCUUAUGCCGUUGAAUAUAUUAGCAUGGAAUAAUAAGAUAGGACUUUGGUACUAUUUUGUUGGUUUGCGCACCAAAGUAAUGAUUAAUAGGAACAGUUGGGGGUAUUCGUAUUCCGUUGUCAGAGGUGAAAUUCUUGGAUUUACGGAAGACGAACUACUGCGAAAGCAUUUACCAAGGAUGUUUUCAUUAA